UACGUAGGGUGCAAGCGUUGUCCGGAAUUAUUGGGCGUAAAGAGCGUGUAGGCGGCCCGAUUAGUCCGCUGUGAAAGUCCAGGGCUCAACCCUGGAAUGCCGGUGGAUACUGUCGGGCUAGAGUCCGGAAGGGGCGAGUGGAAUUCCUGGUGUAGCGGUGAAAUGCGUAGAUAUCAAGUGGAACACCAGUGGCGAAGGCGAGUCUCUGGACAUUUCCUGACGCUGAGGCACGAAAGCCAGGGGAGCAAACGGG
This 253-nucleotide ribosomal RNA is filed under the name uncultured bacterium. Its description in RNAcentral is "partial 16S ribosomal RNA". It matches the Rfam family "Bacterial small subunit ribosomal RNA", at positions 524 to 776 of the family's 1533-position model. The record is from RNAcentral.